This 465-nucleotide ribosomal RNA is filed under the name uncultured Veillonella sp. RNAcentral describes it as "bacterial SSU rRNA". It matches the Rfam family "Bacterial small subunit ribosomal RNA", at positions 338 to 795 of the family's 1533-position model. Lineage: Bacteria; Bacillati; Bacillota; Negativicutes; Veillonellales; Veillonellaceae. The record is from RNAcentral.
CCUACGGGAGGCAGCAGUGGGGAAUCUUCCGCAAUGGACGAAAGUCUGACGGAGCAACGCCGCGUGAGUGAUGACGGCCUUCGGGUUGUAAAGCUCUGUUAAUCGGGACGAAAGGCCUUCUUGUGAAUAGUGAGAAGGAUUGACGGUACCGGAAUAGAAAGCCACGGCUAACUACGUGCCAGCAGCCGCGGUAAUACGUAGGUGGCAAGCGUUGUCCGGAAUUAUUGGGCGUAAAGCGCGCGCAGGCGGAUAGGUCAGUCUGUCUUAAAAGUUCGGGGCUUAACCCCGUGAUGGGAUGGAAACUGCCAAUCUAGAGUAUCGGAGAGGAAAGUGGAAUUCCUAGUGUAGCGGUGAAAUGCGUAGAUAUUAGGAAGAACACCAGUGGCGAAGGCGACUUUCUGGACGAAAACUGACGCUGAGGCGCGAAAGCCAGGGGAGCGAACGGGAUUAGAUACCCCAGUAGUC